AACCAUAGAACUGCUUCCAAAACUGCUUAUCUAGAGUAUGGGAGAGGUAGAUGGAAUUUCUGGUGUAGGGGUAAAAUCCGUAGAGAUCAGAAGGAAUACCGAUUGCGAAGGCGAUCUACUGGAACAUUACUGACGCUGAGAUGCGAAAGCGUGGGGAGCAAACAGGAUUAGAUACCCUGGUAGUCCACGCCCUAAACGAUGCACACUAGUUGUUGCUAUGCUAGACAUAGCAGUAAUGCAGUUAACACAGUAAGUGUGCCGCCUGGGGAGUACGGUCGCAAGAUUAAAACUCAAAGGAAUAGACGGGGACCCGCACAAGCGGUGGAGCAUGUGGUUUAAUUCGACGAUACGCGAAGAACCUUACCUGGCCUUGACAUAGAAAGAAGUUUGCAGAGACGCAGAUGUGCUAGUUUACUAGAACUUUCAUACAGGUGCUGCACGGCUGUCGUCAGCUCGUGUCGUGAGAUGUUGGGUUAAGUCCCGCAACGAGCGCAACCCUCGUGUUUAGUUACUAACAGUUCGGCUGAGGACUCUAAACAGACUGCCUGGGUAACCAGGAGGAAGGUGAGGACGACGUCAAGUCAUCAUGGCCCUUACGGCCAGGGCUACACACGUGCUACAAUGGGGUAUACAAAGAGCUGCAAUACGGUGACGUGGAGCAAAUCUCAUAAAAUAUCUCCCAGUUCGGAUUGAAGUCUGCAACUCGACUUCAUGAAGUUGGAAUCGCUAGUAAUCGUAGAUCAGCAAUGCUACGGUGAAUACGUUCCCGGGUCUUGUACUCACCGCCCGUCACACCAUGGGAAUUGAAUUCAUUCGAAGCGGGGAUGCUAAAAUAGCUACCUUCCACAGUG
This 851-nucleotide ribosomal RNA is filed under the name uncultured bacterium. Its description in RNAcentral is "bacterial SSU rRNA". It matches the Rfam family "Bacterial small subunit ribosomal RNA", at positions 611 to 1464 of the family's 1533-position model. The record is from RNAcentral.